AGCCCUGUAGUGUAGCGGCCAACACUUUUCAAGAAUCAAUCAUGAGAAGAGGCCAAUCAUAUCGGACUCUGGAUCCGAUGACCACGGUUCGAAACGACGGUAUCGUUCGUCGAGCCCUAAGCGUACAUCGACUACGUCGAGUACACUAGGUUUGGAACAUCGAUGCUUUCGACGAAAGUCCGUGCAGGGCUA
RNAcentral lists this transfer RNA (192 nucleotides) under Nanobdellota archaeon. Its description in RNAcentral is "tRNA-Gln". Lineage: Archaea; Nanobdellati; Nanobdellota. The record is from RNAcentral.